Molecule: non-coding RNA, 128 nt
Organism: Caenorhabditis elegans
Lineage: Eukaryota; Metazoa; Nematoda; Chromadorea; Rhabditida; Rhabditidae
Source: Ensembl
GUAACUUGCCAUUGGCUGCUGGUCGAUGCGUUUUGUCAUAUGACCUGCACAUCUAACGCCGUUUCGCCCGCGCAUUCAAACGUGUUUGUUGGGGCGCGCUUGCUAUUCAAUAGCAUUUUUCACAUACA